This 465-nucleotide unclassified non-coding RNA is filed under the name Hevea brasiliensis (rubber tree). The record is from RNAcentral. Lineage: Eukaryota; Viridiplantae; Streptophyta; Magnoliopsida; Malpighiales; Euphorbiaceae.
AGGCCUCAAUCUUGUUUAUCUCCUACACAAGGAUUUUAUAAAAGGGAAAGUUACAAAUUAACAAUUUAAAACUCAGAAUCAACACCAGUUCAUUUCCAAAAUCCUUGAUGAAGACAGGAAUCAAGGAAUGCUUGAAAAUUUAGUUCUAACAAUAAGUUGUGCAACAGUAAAUGAUUGUUCAAAAGCUUAAGACAACAAGAAACCACGAUAAUAGCUUGAUUAAACUCAGAUAAGGCAAUGGUACAGAACACUGAGUUACAAGGGCGUCUUUCAACCAGAGGAAGAAGACGAAGAUUGUGUGUAUGUAAGGAGGGGAAAGCUUGCCAAGGGAGAGGAAAUGGAAAAGUGAGGGAACUAGAAAACUAGAAGAUCUUAAAAUUGCAUCACAUAGGGGAAUAAAAUGGUUUAAACACAAUAUCUUAAGCACAAACAGAAAGGCCAAGUCAUCAAGGAAAAGAAAUAGCU